RNAcentral lists this ribosomal RNA (433 nucleotides) under uncultured bacterium. Its description in RNAcentral is "partial 16S ribosomal RNA". It matches the Rfam family "Bacterial small subunit ribosomal RNA", at positions 29 to 507 of the family's 1533-position model. The record is from RNAcentral.
AACGAACGCUGGCGGCAUGCCUAACACAUGCAAGUCGAACGAGACCUUCGGGUCUAGUGGCGCACGGGUGCGUAACGCGUGGGAACCUGCCCUUAGGUUCGGAAUAACUCCCCGAAAGGGGUGCUAACACCGGAUAAUGUCUUCGGACCAAAGAUUUAUCGCCUUUGGAUGGGCCCGCGUUGGAUUAGCUAGUUGGUAGGGUAAAAGCCUACCAAGGCGACGAUCCAUAGCUGGUCUGAGAGGAUGAUCAGCCACACUGGGACUGAGACACGGCCCAGACUCCUACGGGAGGCAGCAGUGGGGAAUAUUGGACAAUGGGCGAAAGACUGAUCCAGCAAUGCCGCGUGAGUGAUGAAGGCCUUAGGGUUGUAAAGCUCUUUUACCCGGGAUGAUAAUGACAGUACCGGGAGAAUAAGCUCCGGCUAACUCCGUG